UCCAGACUCCUACGGGAGGCAGCAGUGGGGAAUAUUGCACAAUGGGGGGAACCCUGAUCCAGCGACGCCGCGUGAGUGAAGAAGUAUUUCGGUAUGUAAAGCUCUAUCAGCAGGAAAGAAAAUGACGGUACCUGACUAAGAAGCCCCGGCUAACUACGUGCCAGCAGCCGCGGUAAUACGUAGGGGGCAAGCGUUAUCCGGAUUUACUGGGUGUAAAGGGAGCGUAGACGGUGAAGCAAGUCUGAAGUGAAAGGCGGGGGCUCAACCCCCGGACUGCUUUGGAAACUGUUUGACUGGAGUGCAGGAGAGGUAAGUGGAAUUCCUAGUGUAGCGGUGAAAUGCGUAGAUAUUAGGAGGAACACCAGUGGCGAAGGCGGCUUACUGGACUGUAACUGACGUUGAGGCUCGAAAGCGUGGGGAGCAAACAGGAUUAGAUACCCCGGUAAG
Molecule: ribosomal RNA, 447 nt
Filed under: uncultured bacterium
Lineage: Bacteria
Description: partial 16S ribosomal RNA
Rfam family: Bacterial small subunit ribosomal RNA
Source: RNAcentral